RNAcentral lists this non-coding RNA (900 nucleotides) under Drosophila simulans. RNAcentral describes it as "Eukaryotic large subunit ribosomal RNA". It matches the Rfam family "Eukaryotic large subunit ribosomal RNA", at positions 1583 to 2396 of the family's 3401-position model. Lineage: Eukaryota; Metazoa; Arthropoda; Insecta; Diptera; Drosophilidae. The record is from Rfam by way of RNAcentral.
UAAUACACUUGAAUAAUUUUGACGAGGUUCCAAUUCCGUAACCUGUUGAGUAUCCGUUUGUUAUUAAAUAUGGGCCUCGUGCUCAUCCUGCCAACAGGAACGACCAUAAAGAAGCCGUCGAGAGAUAUCGGAAGAGUUUUCUUUUCUGUUUUAUAGCCGUACUACCAUGGAAGUCUUUCGCAGAGAGAUAUGGUAGAUGGGCUAGAAGAGCAUGACAUAUACUGUUGUGUCGAUAUUUUCUCCUCGGACCUUGAAAAUUUAUGGUGGGGACACGCAAACUUCUCAACAGGCCGUACCAAUAUCCGCAGCUGGUCUCCAAGGUGAAGAGUCUCUAGUCGAUAGAAUAAUGUAGGUAAGGGAAGUCGGCAAAUUAGAUCCGUAACUUCGGGAUAAGGAUUGGCUCUGAAGAUUGAGAUAGUCGGGCUUGAUUGGGAAACAAUAACAUGGUUUAUGUGCUCGUUCUGGGUAAAUAGAGUUUCUAGCAUUUAUGUUAGUUACUUGUUCCCCGGAUAGUUUAGUUACGUAGCCAAUUGUGGAACUUUCUUGCUAAAAUUUUUAAGAAUACUAUUUGGGUUAAACCAAUUAGUUCUUAUCAAUUAUAACGAUUAUCAAUUAACAAUCAAUUCAGAACUGGCACGGACUUGGGGAAUCCGACUGUCUAAUUAAAACAAAGCAUUGUGAUGGCCCUAGCGGGUGUUGACACAAUGUGAUUUCUGCCCAGUGCUCUGAAUGUCAAAGUGAAGAAAUUCAAGUAAGCGCGGGUCAACGGCGGGAGUAACUAUGACUCUCUUAAGGUAGCCAAAUGCCUCGUCAUCUAAUUAGUGACGCGCAUGAAUGGAUUAACGACGGACGUGUUUUCGUUGCGCUCGUGUACAGAUUGCGAAGAACUUUGUUUUCCGU